AGCGCGCAGCCGGCCGCCCUCAACCGCUCCCAGCAUCGGUUGCCGGUGGUUCGGGGCAGGGAGACGACGCAGCGCGAGCGGAAAGGGCGGUUACCCAACGGCCUUAGCUCUCAUGGCGUCCUCCGUGGUGUUACCUAAAAAUAAAGUUAUUUGUGAUUAGAAGGUAAUCGCCUCCUGGUCAUGCUUCCGCUGGUCACCAGUGUCUGCGGGGCGACCCCAUCCUUGUGGCCAGAGAGGGCCUGUGGCUGCGCUCAAGGCAGGAGCGGUCCUUAGCAGGGCCCUGCGGGACGCCCAGGCCGCGCUCCUUUCCCUUGCUCGCCUGGCCUUGAAGUGAAGGGGGAGGUUUAACAAUGCAGUGGGAACCCCAAAGUUUGUCUCGGCCGUGCUGCUCACAUUCCAAACAAUGCAAAAGGUUGAGGAAAACCUCAGCAGUUGAAACCGUGAUGCAUUUCAGCAAAGAAGUAGCUCCUGUCCUCGUAAAAUCAGUGAAGUUCUCACGGACGACCUCAUUGAAAGUUUUCAUGGGCUGAGCUGCUGAGUUCAGCCUGGGAACUGAGGCCAACAUCGGAGUCUCCUCGGCACACAAGUUUGAAAGAAGUCCUAGUGACUUCAAGCUCAGAACCAUGGACGGCAGGGCUCCCUCUGGAUGUGGAAUUCUCCGUCCCUUUCCAGGGAGGGAACAAAGCCCACAAGCACCGAGACUCCUUCAGGGUGAGCAAAGGCCUGGAAACCUGUAUGCAGUUAAAGAAAAGGAAAGAAAGAGAUAAUCAGUGCAUGCAGUUGUCAGCUGGCUGGGACCUGAGGAGAGUCACUUGUGGAGGCAACUGGUCUUUAUCCCUAUUGUCCGGUACAAGGCAGGCAUUAAUCCUGUGAUCCUUAUCUGAAGCUCAGGUUUGAUUUUAUUCUUUUCUUAAGUACCUAGUGUUAUCCCCAAGCUUGUAAUGAUAGUUUAAUUGUUACAGCCAAUAUCUCACCUUCAGAAGUAAGAUGCUUAGGAAACCAAGACAAGGAACUGUGUGUUGCAAACAGCAUCACCCUGGAGAAGAGGUGGCAGGAGGUGACCUACAGAAAAUGGAGCAAUAGCCUAGAGCAAGAAACACAGAAUAAAAGAGAAAUGAGGGGUUAGGCAACCUCCUGGAGCACCAACGGGACAAGCACAUAUUCAGGGGCCUCCUAACAGACUCGACUUCCAGCAUCCUCAGAUGGGGCUAGACACGUUACAUAGACAUUCAAGAGUAGAGAACUCAGGGACUUCUGAUUUAUAUCAAGAAAUGCAUACACAGCAGACGUGUGCCUGUGGAGUGGAAUUCUGGAAAAGCUCACAGCCCAGAACAUAAUGCAGACUCCCCCAGCCACAGCACCUUCCAAUCCUGAGAAGAGUGCUGAUUCUCCAUCUGAGCACCCAUUCUCCUGCAACAUCAGGGGAGAGGAUUUCACCUAAGGGUCAGACCAGCAUCUCCAAACCCAGCUCCCCACCUUUGCCUGUUGGUGGCACUUGUGGGAGAAGGGGAGAUGAUAUGAAAAGAGCCACAACAGGAGUCACCUGGACAGGGUGGAGCUUGAUGGAAACUGACAUUUGUGUCCACUGGAGGCAAAUGUAGAAUUUGGUAUCUUCCGUAGCGUCAGGCACAUGAAACUCUCCAGUGCCCAUGACUUUUGACAGUGACUUCAGAGCACAUCUGGGAGACCCAUGUGGCCCAGGCUCCACACAGGCAGGAGCUCAGCUUCACUCACAGCGGGAUUCCUAGUGCCAAGAACACCAUAGGUGCAUAGCAGGUGAUCAAAAUAAUUGUAUGUGGCUGAAUCAGUGAGAGGUAAGAGAGAGGACUUGAUCCUAGCUGCAAACUAAGAGACCUCAUUAAAACCUAACGUGGCUGGGUGUGGUGGCUCACGCCUGUAAGCCCAGCACUUUGGGAGGCCGAGGGGUGGAUCACCUGAGGUCAGGAGUUCGAGACAAGCCUGGCCAACAUGGUGAAAACCCAUCUCUACUAAAUAUACAAAAAAUUGGCUGGGCAUGGUGGCGGGUGCCUGUAAUCCCAGCUACUUGGGAGGCUGAGGCAGGAGAAUCACUUGAACCCAGGAGGCGGAGGUUGCAGUGAGCCGAGAUUGCACCACUAUACUCCAGCCUGGCAAUAAGAGCAAAAGUCCGUCUCAAAAC
This 2158-nucleotide long non-coding RNA is filed under the name Pan troglodytes (chimpanzee). RNAcentral's name for it is "lincRNA". The record is from RNAcentral. Lineage: Eukaryota; Metazoa; Chordata; Mammalia; Primates; Hominidae.